Molecule: long non-coding RNA, 1456 nt
Organism: Oncorhynchus tshawytscha (Chinook salmon)
Lineage: Eukaryota; Metazoa; Chordata; Actinopteri; Salmoniformes; Salmonidae
Source: Ensembl
UGCCCGGCUAUUAAAAGGGACUGCUUUCUGAGACAGCGUUUAAUUGAAGUUUUAUGGUAUGUCAAAUACAUUCGCUCUACGCCCAAAACAUUCAGACACAUAAACUCAUAGACUAUGUGAUAAAACAUUCAGUGUAGCAGGAUCGGACACACAAACCCAUGCACUUUGGCAAAAAAACAUUUAAAAGCACAUUUUUGGUAAUUUACAAAUAAUUUACUGCAAGAAAUAUAUACAAUAUGUUACAUGCAGAAAAUGCAUUGAGCAUAUUACAACAGGUAUACAUAAAGUAUCUCUGCUAUUCAUAUUCUCGCCUCUAGAAAACAUAGCAUUUAAAAACAUUUAUCCAUUCCCUAUAUCUAAAUUAAUAACACAUUGACUUAAGUAUGUGGACAUCUGUCCGGCGAACUUCCAAAAUCACGGCCACUGACUUGGAGUUUGUCUGCUCUAACUGGAUCUCGCGUUGUGCAGCAUUGUCAUGCUGAAACAGGAAAGGGCAUUCCCCAAACUGUUGCCACAAAGUUGGAAGCACAGAAUCAUCUAGAAUGUCAUUCAAUGCUGCAUCGUUAAGAUUUCCCUUCACUGGAACAAAAGGGCCUAGCCCGAACCAUGAAAAACAACCCCAGACUUUACAGUUGGCACUAUGCUUUCAGGCAGGUAUCAAUCUCAUGGCAUCCACCAAACCCAGAUUCGUCUGUGGACAGCGUGAUUCGUAAUUUCAGACAACACUUUUCCACUGCUCCAGAGUCCAAUGGCGGCGAACUUAGGCUUGUGUGCGGCUGCUCGGCCAUGGAAACCCAUUUCAUGAAGCUCCCCAUAAACAGUUAUUGUGCUGAUGUUGCUUCCACAGGCAGUUUGGAACUCGGUAGUGAUUGUUGCAACUAAGACUAUUUUACUGGCUGAGAAGUUGUUGCUCUUAGACAUUUCUUAGACAUUUCCACAUAACAGCACUUACAGUUGACCGGGGCAGCUCUGCCAGGGAGGAAAUUUGAUGAACUGACUUAUUGGAAAGGUGGCAUCCUAUGACAGUGACACAUUGAAGGCCAGUGAGCUCUUCAGUAAGGCCAUUGUACUGAUAUUGUUUGUCUAAGGACAUUGCAUGGCUGUGUGCUCAAUUUUAAACACCUCUCAGCAGGUGUUCCUGAAAUAAAUCCACUCAUUUGAAGGGGUAUCCACAAACUUUCACAAAGUAUUCAGGGCCCUUGACUUUUUCCACAUUUUGUUACGUAAAAGGCACAUGACAGCUUUCUUUCAGCUUGCUUUCAAAAGGCACCUAAAGACUCUCAGACCAUGAGAGUCUGAUCUGGUUUGAUGAAACCCAGGUUGAACUCUUUGGCCUGAAUGCCAAGUGUCACGUCUGGAUGAAACCUGGCACCAUCCCUAUGGUGAAGCAUGGUCGUGGCAGCAUCAUGCUCUGGGGAUGUUUUUUCAGCGACAGGGUCUGGGAGACUAGUCAGGA